Gallus gallus (chicken) is the source of this 6126-nucleotide RNA transcript. It is a transcript of the gene named solute carrier family 2, facilitated glucose transporter member 9-like, with no coding region annotated. NCBI's taxonomy places the organism in Eukaryota, Metazoa, Chordata, Aves, Galliformes, Phasianidae. The record is from RefSeq and is a predicted model, not a curated record. The transcript is spliced from 14 exons.
GGGGGCAUGGGGUGAGAGGUCUGAACUGCCGUGACCAAGAGGACUUUGCCAGGUCUCCCAGUGGCAUGCAUGAUGCACUAAUGUGCUGAGCCUUGCCCUGCUGCUGUUCCCCAAGGAGCAAUAACAGCUUCCCGGAAGGAAAGGGAACAGCAGGAGACCCAGCUGUCCCUGGAGAGGUCUCCAUAUGAAAUCCCUCCUUCAUCCUGCCAGCAAAUCCCACUGGGUUGAGUGUCAUGAGGGCCACGGUCUUUGUCCCCACGUGUAAUACCAAAACAGAAGCAGCAGGUCCCACGGGCACAUUCCUUCUGCCCACCCCCAGCAGUGGGCUGGGAGGGGUGGUCUCCUGCUGAGGCUGAGAUUUGGUUCCCUUCCUUUCCCCCCUCACUCCUUUUUUUUUAAUGAGCUGUAGCCUAACUCCUGGCACGUUCCCAGAGCUUCUCUCCCAUGGUGAGCCUUGAUACAGAGCCAGAAUAAAUCAUCCUUUGUCUUGUCAGAAAAUUCUCCCCGUGACUUUGUGCUUGUUCCCAAAGACCGCUGGGCUUCCCUGCUUGUCCCGUGGAUAUCCCACAGGAGUUGUCACCGCUGGUUAAUCUUCGGUGACGUUAAACUGAUACACUAAAAAUCAGAGGGAUGCUGAUGUGCAUGGAUGUAUGAGCCCUUUAUGUAUGGUAACCGACUGCUGGAUGGGUCCCUCUUGUAGUAGCUGGUCACCCCAAAAACCGUCCUGUGCUACAUCCCUGCUCAGACUGAGGGCUGGGGGAGGAAAGGACGUGGCUUCUCCAGAGUUUUCGGUUUGUUACUCUGCUAUAUUUGUUAUCUGGAUUCUUAAGUAACGAGUGCUUUGAAUUUUGUGAUUAUGUUACGGUGAUGUGUAGUUAAUGUACUAAUGUUCACUUGAGCUAGGGUCAUGGUAACAGUGUGGUUUGUUUUUUUUAACUGUUCAGAAAAUAACUUAAAUACAAAGGUUAAGCUGUGAACCUCUCCUGUUUUCCUUUUGGGAUGAAGGGGCAGUGUUGGAGCAUCACGGCUGUGCCUUGCAUUUGGACAGCACGAACCUCCCUGCCCCACCACCUGCCUGGGGGCCGCUCCCGGGGCCCGUGUCCAUGCUCUGGAAGGCAGAAAGAGAGGAAAAAAAGCCAUCACCACCACUUUUUUCCUAAAACCACAGCAUACUUUUUAAUUAACAAACUCCAUUGAAUGGCUGAUGGCCUCUAGCUGGGGCGAAUGAGUCUGCCCUGUAAGUCAGAGUGGAUGUGACGCACCGAGCCACAGCCAUCUUGCCUAUAAAAGUAUAAAGACUGUGCUUUUCUGGGUACACUUGCAAGAUCCUGGGAGGAGAAGCACAAAUUUGUUUUAUAAGCUAAUCAGAAUCCUGCUGUUCAAUAAUGAGUGAGUAAUUGACAUAUCGCGGCACCGCCAUGCGACACAAUGGCUGGGGAUGCUGAAAUGCUGACGAUUCGAACGCGAGCACCCUUGGCCUCAGAAUACCUUUCUCUUAAAAAUGCUCUGCGGAUGGCAACCUCAGAUCUUCCCAUUUUACUUAACAGCCCCUUUUAAAACAAAGGCGACUGCGGUUUUAAGAUCCCUGCUCCCGGGGUGGGCAGAAAACAAACACGCGCCGCACACCCGCUGCCACUCUCCCUGCUGGCUCCAUUCUUGGGAACCAGCAGGGGAUGGAGAUGGCGAACCUCCUGCAUUCUGCAGGGCUGGGAGUCCUGUCACCUCCAAUCCCCAUCUCUCCUUGUGACAGCAUUCCCAGCAGCCGGGUGCUUUGUUUGGAGAGGGUUGGAUUUUUAAUGCGCGCAUCAUCUAUUUACGCUGCUUUAUCCUCUGCUGUUCCUAUCCUGCUCUACCUCUGGCCAACCCUUCCUCCCCUUCCCUUUGAUACCCCAACACAAGGGUCAUCGAAUCACAGGGUGGUCGAGUUGGAAGGGACCCGAGAGGUGAGAGAGUCAUAGAACAGUUGGGUUGGAAGGGACCCCAAAGAUGGGAGAAUCAUAGAACAGUGGGGUUGGAAGGGACCCCAAAGACCGUCCAGUUCCAACCCAUCAGAGUGGGCUGGAGAACCCUUCCCAGCAAUUCUGCCUUCACAUCCAGGAACUCAGGACCUGAAGCUCUCUCCUCUCUGAGACAGAAAAGCAAUCUCCAUUGUAAAUUUCUGCAGGAACAAAGUGAGUACCAGGCAGCUUAUCUUAAAUAGAUUCAGUGCUUAAUUAUCCUUUCCUUUUAAAAAUGUGUGCCUUAUUUCCACUUCAAAUGAAGAAGGAAAGUAAUGUUUGCCAUAUCUCCAAAUUAACAGCGUUUGAUCGACCCACGGCUUUCAAAUGAAAUCUUCUGGUGGUGUUUUCUUUCUUUUUUUUCUUUAUCAGUUUUAUAUGCACACUUCAGUAAGGUGUGUUUUGGGAAGAGGGGAAUUGGUCAGUGUCGGCCUGCUGGGCACAUCAAUGGUGGGAGCCUCGUGGCUGCUGGGGAUGUUUGCUGAGCUGAGGGGCUGCUGUGCCAGGGACUGCUGGGGUUGGAGGAGGAAAACCUGGGUGUGGAAGGGCUCCGUGCAGCGCCUCACCUGCCCCCUGCUCUCUGUCACCCUCCUGGUAUCCUUCGGCUCCUCCAUGCUCUAUGGCUACAACCUGGCCGUGGUGAACUCACCAGCAGUGCACAUAAAGGCCUUCUACAACGCCACAUGGUCCCAGCGCUAUGGGCAUGGGCUGCCCCCUGGGCCCCUCACCCUCCUCUACUCUCUGACCGUCUCCAUCUUUGCCCUGGGCGGGCUGGGGGGCUCCUUGCUGGUGGGGAUGCUGGUGGCACGCUAUGGCAGGCAUGGCACGCUGGGACGCAGCGCUCUGCUCGUCCUCCUGGCUGGUGGCCUCAUGGCCUUCAGCCGACAGCUGGCGGCCCCCGAGAUGGUGAUCAUUGGCCGUGCCAUCACCGGGCUGCACUCAGGUAUCUGUCUCAGCGUGGUGCCUCUCUACCUGGGAGAAAUUGCCCCCAAGAACCUGCGGGGCUUCCUGGGCCUCCUGCCCAGCAUCUUCAUCUGCCUGGGGGUGUUCUGCGCACAGGUGCUGGGGCUGCCCGAGCUGCUGGGCCAGGACAGGUACUGGCCCCUAUUCCUAGCAGUGGUGGCCAUCCCUGCCUCCCUCCAGCUCCUGCUGCUGCACUGCUUCCCUGAGAGCCCGCGGUUCCUGCUGAUAGAGAGGAAUGACGUCUGUGGCUCCACUGAGGCGCUGCGCCGGUUCCUGGGGACGUCUGACGUGCAGGAGGUGCUGGAGGAGAUGAAGGAGGAGCAGCGCUCCCUCUCCUUGGUGCAGACGGUCUCAGUCUGGCAGCUGCUGCAGGAGCGCUCGGUGCGCUGGCAGACCCUCUCGGUGGCGGUGGUGAAUGUGGGCAUGCAGCUCUCCGGGAUCGAUGCUAUCUGGUUUUACACCAACACCAUCUUCCGGAACGCAGGGAUCCCCGAAUCCCAGAUCCCAUAUACCACUGUGGGCACCGGUGCCAUUGAAGUUGUUGCGGGGCUGAUCGGGUGCUUCACCAUCGAGAAGCUGGGCCGGCGGCCCCUCAUCAUCACCGGGUUCUGUGCCAUGGGCACUUGCCUGGCAGGCAUCACCGGCUGCCUGCUGCUUCAGGCUGCCCUGCCCUGGAUGCGCUACGUCGCCGUUGCCUGCGUGGUGGGCAUCAUCGCUGGGUUCUGCAUGGGGCCAGCUGGUGUCCCCUUCCUGAUGACGGCCGAGCUCUUCACGCAGUCCCACCGCUCGGCUGCCUAUGUCCUGGGGGGGUCUCUCAAUUGGCUCUGCAAUUUCACCAUCGGCUUCAUCUUCCCUUUCCUGCAGAUGUCAACCGGUGCCUUUUCCUACUUGGUUUUCUGUGGGGUCUGCCUGCUGGUGGCCCUCUACGUCUACCUCAUCGUCCCCGAGACCAAGAACAAGACCUUCAUGGAGAUCAGCCGUGUCUUCGCUGCCCGCCAACCCCUCGCCCCACUGUGCCACGCAGGGAUGCUGAGGCUCCGUGGCCUGAUGAUGCGCAUGGGAACAGGGACCGGUCCAUAUGGAUCCCUACUGCCUGGCCCUAACACUGUGGAAGCAGAGAUCACGGCCCCAUAGCAUCCUCCACGUCCCCCUCCCGACUCGGCUGCUCUCGGCAGCAGAACAGAGCGCAAACGACAGCAUCAUUUCAGGCCUCUUUGCCACUGGUAUUUAUUUAUUCCGGUAUUUAUUUAUCUCUCCCACCCUGCGUGCUGGGCAGCCUGGGAGAUGCCCUGUGCCCUCCCCGUGGGAAGCAGUGACCCCUCGACCCCUGCCUGCUGGUGUGACCCAUGAGCCCCGCUGUUGCCUUAUAGAAUCAUUAAGGUUGGAAAAGACCUCUAACAUCGUUGAGUCCAACCAUCCUCCUACCACCAAUACUGCCCUCUAAACUGGGGCCGAGGCGCAGGUUGCCCAGAGAGGUGCUGGGUGGGGACACUCACCUCCCUGGAGACACCCAAGGUCAGACUGGGUGGGCUCUGUGUGCAUGAUGAAGCAGUAGGUGUCCCUGUUCAGUGCGGGGGAAUGGGACCAGAUGGCCUUGAAGAGUUCCUUCCAACUCAGAGAAUUUGGUAGUUCUACAGUCCUCACAGGCUGGGAGCAGCACGGGGCUCCAGCACCACCCAACCCCACCUAAAGGAUUCGGCCAUACUCAGAGGGCACUGCGGAUGAGGGGAUGACACAGCGACGAUGAGGGGAAGGCUUUGAAAAAAAUCAGAGGUGUUACAAAGGAGUGACUUUGGUUACCACGAGGUGCUCACAGCCCCGGUAGGAUCUGUGGAAGCAAAGAUGGAGAUGAUCUUCUCCAGAUGGUGCCCAGUGUUGAGGGAGGGGCAUUGGGUGGAGAGGAGAGCAGAGAUUUGUGUCAUUGCAAACCAUAAUGCACUGCCUUGGAUCCAGCACUCCCCAACCCAGCCUCUCCAAAAGAUGUCUUUAAAGGAUGAGCUAUUUAGAAUAUAUAGAUACAUAUAUAGAAGCGUGCUUCCCUAUGGAAAGAGAAGGAAGGGUCCCGUAUUGGUACCGGGGCGGUUGGGGCGCGGGGUGCGCGCCAGCAGAUGGCACUGCCGGGAUUUAUGGCUGCAGCAAGCUGCCUCUCGGAGAGCACUCAUGUAGGAGAUGUCCUAUUAUAUGGGCAGUUGACUUUAAUAGUCAUUGUGUGCUUAAAGCACAGCAAAACAACAGUGGGAAAAAGAAGAAAAAAAAAAGAGAAGGAAAAAAAGAAAGAGAUCCCCCUCCUGUCGGAUGGCCCUUUCCCCCCCCAGCCCUGCUAGUCUAUUUGUACAGUAAAUUAAAAAUAUGAAUCACUUCUCUCUACUGCCUCCCCAAACACUCAUCCUGUCAGGCGCUGUGUUGUCUUCAUUUGUAUUACCUUAAUUUAAUGUUAAUUAUGUUCUUCAUUUACAAAGAACACGCGUCCGCACGCCCCGCCGGGGGAUUCUCCACGCUGCGCUCUCCGCAGAGCGGGGUGUUGUGCACAGUGCAGGGAUGGGCGGCAGGGAUGCUCUGUGCCCCCACCCCAUUGCUGCUAUUGCCUCUCGAUUUAUGGAAGCGCAUCGCUGCCGCCGUGCCCGAGUCGUGUCCCACCCUUCCAUCCACCCCCCCCCCCUCCCAAUAAAUCCUUCCUAAAAGGCGGUCGGCCCACGGAGGGCAGUGAUUUAUGGUGGAGAGGUGGGGGCGCGUUUGGGGGCGCAGCGUUGUUGUGUGCCUCGGUUUCCCCAUCGGCUGUUGGGGAAACCCCAAACUCCCAACGUGGGGGAGGGUGGGACGUCCUGGGCCGGGCCGGGCAGAGCUGGGAAAGCAGUGGGCAGAGUGGGCUGGGAGCACCCACCAAAAGCCCCCAAAUACCCUGCCAAGGUAUUUAAUACAGGUAUUAAAUUAGAAAUCCGCCCAAACCUUCUUAUUGUCUGUUAUUACCCAAAGAAUAGAAAAGAACUGAAAAUGACAGCCCCCCCACAUAAAGACCCACGAUCCCAAGCACCUUUCUCCCCAUCCCCACCCCCAGUUUCCAUGGAAACAGCCAAAUAUUGGGGGGCAAAGCCCUGAGCACCCCCAACCACAAAUUAUCGGGCAGCUUCAGGCCUGGGACAGGUUCCUGGGGGGGGGGCGUGGGGGU